RNAcentral lists this ribosomal RNA (402 nucleotides) under uncultured bacterium. RNAcentral's name for it is "bacterial SSU rRNA". It matches the Rfam family "Bacterial small subunit ribosomal RNA", at positions 355 to 774 of the family's 1533-position model. The record is from RNAcentral.
UGGGGAAUCUUGCACAAUGGGGGCAACCCUGAUGCAGCGACGCCGCGUGAGCGAUGAAGCCCUUCGGGGCGUAAAGCUCUUUCGACCGGAACGAUAAUGACGGUACCUGCAGAAGCAGCUGCGGCUAACUACGUGCCAGCAGCCGCGGUAAUACGUAGGCAGCAAGCGUUGUUCGGAGUUACUGGGCGUAAAGGGUGUGUAGGCGGUUCUUUAAGUUUGGUGUGAAAUCUCCCGGCUCAACUGGGAGGGUGCGCCGAAUACUGAGGGACUCGAGUGCGGGAGAGGAAAGUGGAAUUCCUGGUGUAGCGGUGAAAUGCGUAGAUAUCAGGAGGAACACCGGUGGUGUAAACGGCUUUCUGGACCGUAACUGACGCUGAGACACGAAAGCGUGGGUAGCAAACA